This 253-nucleotide ribosomal RNA is filed under the name uncultured bacterium. RNAcentral describes it as "partial 16S ribosomal RNA". It matches the Rfam family "Bacterial small subunit ribosomal RNA", at positions 524 to 776 of the family's 1533-position model. The record is from RNAcentral.
UACGGAAGGGGCUAGCGUUGUUCGGAAUUACUGGGCGUAAAGAGCGCGUAGGCGGCUUACCAAGUUGGGGGUGUAAUCCAGGAGCUCAACUCCGGAACUGCCUUCAAAACUGGUAGGCUCGAGUCCGGAAGAGGGGCGUGGAAAUCCCAGUGUAGAGGUGAAAUUCGUAGAUAUUGGGAAGAACACCGGUGGCGAAGGCGGCGCCCUGGUCCGGUACUGACGCUGAGGCGCGAAAGCGUGGGGAGCAAACAGG